This 3115-nucleotide long non-coding RNA is filed under the name Nicotiana tabacum (common tobacco). RNAcentral describes it as "long non-coding RNA (NTAB_LNC018215)". Lineage: Eukaryota; Viridiplantae; Streptophyta; Magnoliopsida; Solanales; Solanaceae. The record is from RNAcentral.
AAAAAAGGGACUAGACUCUAAGACACAAAAAGGCGCUAGCAGCAAAAAAACCUAAAAAACCUAGGGAGAUGAGCGCCAUUUUCUCAGAAUAGAGCCGUUCCCAUCAUCGCUUCUUCUUCAGAGAACCAAAUACACGACUUCCCCCAUCGUUCUUUACCUUCUUCAGCAUCUUUGAACCUUGAACACCCAAAACAACACACACCCAAAAAAAAAAAAACCGUAGCUCACCCCAUUUUAGGGAUCACAUAGCACACUGAAAUUGAAAGGACUCACCAUGGCCUCAAUGUCAUGAAUCAUUAUAUAGGACACCAUGUAAAUCCUCCAUUGCCUAUUACAUCCAUCUAUGAAAGAAAACCCAUCUUCUUCACCGUUAGAGCCAUUCAAGAACACCACUCUUUUAUCCCCUCACCAUCAUGAAAUCCAUUUGAAAUAAUAGCUCGAAACAGCCCCGAAAAUCACACAAAAACAGUAGCUCCAAGAGUCGAGUUCGAGGCCGCGUUCGAGCUUCAUUCGUUGGCGUUUGUUUGAGGUUGCCGCCAAGUUUCUAUUUGUUGGCUCGAUCUUCAUAAAUAAAAGAAGCUGAGGUUUUAUUUCCAACUUUCCUCUGUUUUUUAUUCUUUGAUCUAAUAAUUAAUAUGUGGUAAUUAAGUGGUAUAAUUUGUUUAAUGUUCCUGUGAAUUAGUCUAAUUGUUUGGUGAGUGCUUUGCCAUAUUUGGAUGCUGAACAAUAAACAGUAACAUCUGAUUUUCUUUUAUUUUAAUGUUCAUUAAUGAUUGAUAAAAAUUUAUUGCAGCCCGUUAUUGUUACUGUGAAACACCGCUGCUGUUUUUUUAAGCAUUUUAGAAAGCUCAUUUUGAAACAUAGUAAUUAAUUUGUACGCCUUGCAUCUGCCCAGUAAUUCAAUGAUUGUCAAGAUGAUUUGUGGACUUGGAAUGCAAUUGUUGUCAAUUCCUCAUCUUUUAUUCUCUCUUCAAAAAUACCACAAAUAAUUCUAAUGAAAAGAUUUCUAUAUGUAAUUUAAUCAAUUAUAGAAUUCACUUCAUGUGUGUAACAAAAAGUAUUAUUUCAUCGUUUUACUUAAGAAUUUUCGCGCGGAUAUUUUACUAGUAGAUUCAUGUGAGGAAGGAAUAGUUUUAUUCAUAUUGUGGAUGAUUAGGUACAUUAUUAGUUCUACUGAUCUUUAAUGUUAAGAUCCAGUACGAACAUUGUCCUCUUAUUUUUGGGAUUAUUAUAUUCCUUUAACUGCUUAUGAAAAUAAAAGAAAAUGAAUUGUGAAAUUAUGUUGCCAGUAGUAUAUGAACUAGUUUUCUUUAGACACGAUUAAUAAUAAAUUAUCGUGGCCAUGGGUACGGUUCCCGUGGCAUGGUUACGAUAUGUAAUCCCCAAUCCGGGGGUAAAUUUCAUGUGAUCCGGUUCUAAUUUCCAACAAGGUUAAAUAGAACGUGUCGUGAAUCACGGGUGCAUUUCAUGUAGCGUGGCUUGCGAUGUGUUUUAAAUAACCUUGAAAUAAUUCCUUUAAUAAUUAAAAACGGUUUCAAAGUUAAAAAUGCACAUAGGCUUAAAAGUAUUUUAAAAUCAAAUAAAUAUGCCAAUAAUAACAGUUGAGCGACCGUGCUAGAACCACGGAACCCGGGAAUGCCUAACACCUCUUCCAGGUUAAUAGAAUUCCGUACCCAGAUUUCUGUGUUCACGGACUGUGAAACAGAGUCAAUUUUUCCUCGAUUCGGGAUUUUAAACUUGUGACUUGGGACACCAUAAAAUAUCCCAUGUGGUGACUCUGAAUUUUGAUAAAAUAAUCCUGUCUCGAUUGUCACUUAAAUUGGAAAAAACUCCCUUAUACCUCCUCUCGGUGGUAGGAAAAAAAGGAGGUGUGACAGGUCUGGCGACUCUGCUGGGGACAAGAACCUAGAAUCUCUGGUUCAGGGUUCAAGAAUUCGAGCUUAGAAUAAUUGUUAUAUUUGGCUUUAUUUAUUAUCUGAUUUUAUUUACAUGCUCGGGCCUAAUGUGCUAAAUGUUACUUUUUACCGCUUUGAUAUUGUUGAACUGUAUAUAAAUUGAUAUGAAACCCUCCUCUCUCUGAGUCUUCUAAAUCAUCUGAGAAGUGUUCACUUCGUGUGAUUUCUCGUUAGAGUCAUAUUCCAAUUUUAGAACGAGGUUCGGACAAGUUGCAAAGCCGGUAAAACUUCUGUAUUCCCAAUACGCUGCCCCCGGCUCGAGCUGUCCGCUCGGGUAAGCAAGGUCUAGAACAAAUAAACCCAGGUUUUUAAACCUAAAAUAACAUAGCCUCAUGCCAGAUCCCUAGUAGAAACUUUUGUUGCAUCACGUGCAUUUGACUUUGGGGACUCAACACAGGGGUUGGGUCCGUCUAGGACAUGUGUACCCAAAAUAACAAACCAUGCAUCUUGAUGCAUCCUACGUGCUACAUGUUGCAUUUCUUCAAGGGUAAAAGGAUCAUUUGGCGGACCAAUGAUAGUCGAGGGCAAAUGAAAAAGAACAAAGAGAAGAAAAAAAAGAGGGUAAAGUAUAAAAAUGAAGCAAGUGAGGCCCAAUUAUAAUUUUCUUUCACACUUUUUCAAGAAAAAACCAAAAAAAAUGAAAAAUCCAAAAAAGAGUUUGCAUUUUCCCCUUCAUUUUUUUUUUCAAAAAAUAUCAAUCAAAAGAAGAGGAAAAAUAAAAUUCAAAAAGAGUUUACAUGUUUCAUCGUUUUUCAAAAAAAAAAAAAGACAAAAAAUAUAUUUUCUCUGAAUUAGUCAUUUUUUUUUAAAUUCUCGCUCGUAUCCAAUCUGCCCGAACUAUGCAUACCUGAUUCUCGUCUUUCGGAGCGUGAUACCUAGACAACCCACAUAGGGUCCGAUCUUCCUAGUAAAUUUUAGGUUCUUGGCUCUGCGAGGUCUUAGCCAAAUUUUGCACUUCUAGCCACCUUUUGGCCAAAUAAGUCAUUUUGCAAAAAUAACCUCAAUCAUGUCUUGCAUUUGUCUAGUAGGGAGUGUUAUUGUCUCACAUAGUGUAGGUUUAAAGUUUUCUCAUACAGGUGAGGAUCUACUUAACGGCGUUUGAGUAUGAUAGGCACCCCGGGACCAUCCAGUCAGGAUCGCUUAGUUAGGAGUUGCUUAAG